RNAcentral lists this transfer RNA (87 nucleotides) under Dreissena polymorpha. It matches the Rfam family "tRNA". Rfam says of the family: Transfer RNA (tRNA) molecules are approximately 80 nucleotides in length. Their secondary structure includes four short double-helical elements and three loops (D, anti-codon, and T loops). Lineage: Eukaryota; Metazoa; Mollusca; Bivalvia; Myida; Dreissenidae. The record is from Rfam by way of RNAcentral.
AGUCGGAUAGCUCAGUCGGUAGAGCAUCUCUGGCAUGUCUUUUAUUGAGUCAAGGGAGUGUCUCGGGUUCGAGUCCCGAUCUGGCUU